Long non-coding RNA from Lynx canadensis (Canada lynx), 4276 nucleotides. RefSeq lists it as uncharacterized. The transcript is spliced from 2 exons. Lineage: Eukaryota; Metazoa; Chordata; Mammalia; Carnivora; Felidae. The record is from RefSeq and is a predicted model, not a curated record.
CUCUCUCUCGAAAGUAAAUUUUUUUUUAAAAAUUAAAAAGUGAAAAAAAAAAAAAAAAGAAAGGAGCCAGACAGGAAAGCACAUGCGGAGUGUGGCUCCAUUUAUGUAAAAUUCUGGAACAUUCUGGAACAGACAAACUCACUGUGUUGAUCAAGCUCAGGCCAGAGGCAGCCUGUGCAGAGGUAGGGGAUCUGGGAAUGGACAAGAGAACUUUCUGGAAUAUGAACAUGUCUCUUCUCUUCCCUCCGAGCCUUCUGUUCAAGUCAAACAUGAUUUUUCAUCCCCGUGUCUCCAGGCUCCGUCUUGGCUCAUGUGGUUCCCGUUCCCUGGAAACCCUCCUUAGCAAAUCUCCACCCCCGGGAGCUAAUUGACACGCCACCUUCUCCGGGAAGCCCUCCCUGCUGCACCCCUCCCUAGCGGCCGCUACCCUGCCCUUCUGGUCCUGAUCCUACAGCUUUUCCGCUGUCGUUCCUUUGACGUGAUCACCUGAGUUUUUCAUUAACGGUCAUCCUGUCCCUGCUUCGAUUCCCUUGCUAUGUUGUGACCUUGAUGGCAGCCGCGUCUGUGUGGGUCCCGGCCACCCCAACCCCAGCAAGAGGCCCGGAGUAGGUGCUCGAUUCGGACACGGGGCAACGAAGGAGCGGAGCGAACGAAGUGUGAAACUCCUCUUUGUUCACGUCAGGCUCUGCACUGAAUUGUGCUGACUCCUGUCACUUUUCCGCCACGCAAGAUGCAAGCCAUGCCGACGUUUUCCGGAGCACUCUCGGGGGGCCCCCGCGGGGGGUGGGGGGGGUCUGGGCUGCCAGCUUCUCACCCGGUAAUUAAAUGACACAGCACAAACCUGUAGAAACACAGCCUUCCCGCGGUCACCGCAUUGAAUCAGACCCGAAAGCUCACAAGACCUUCAGAACCUUUGUUCUAAAGGGUUUCGUGGCCACGGAUGGGGAAACUGAGGUUGGGAGCAGGACAGCGGUGCGUUCAAGGAAGGGGGAGCUCCUGAUCUGUCAUGCUUCCGUCGGGGGGGGGGAGCGAGCUUCCCCCCCACCCUCAGGACGAGAUACGGCUGGAGGGACAUUUCCAUCAUCUCUCCGGCCCCUUCUCCCAGAAGAGGGAGAAAACUCAGCUUGUGUCUGUUCUCACCCGCACCCUCAAUGGGGGCAGGAGGCGACGCCGUGGAUAGCCAGCCCGCCUGCCACCCACCCCGCAAGCCCCCACAAGCGACAGAGGACCUCCAGAUACGGGGCUGGUAAGCACUGGAGAGCCUGCCCCCUCCCCCGUCCCACCGGGACCACCGGACACGCCGGCGAAGCCAGGGACGGCGAAGCCAGGGACGGACGCGGGUGGCUCCAGAGGCCCAGUCCCGGCUUUCUCAGAUCUGGGCGGGAUUCUGUGCCAGUGAGCGUGAACAACCCGGAUGGCUUGUCCUGGGGUUGGGACGCUCGGGGCUCAAACGGGGACAGUCUCAGGAAAGCCCGGGUGGUCUGUCACCCUAACUUCUAGCUCAGCAUCCACAGAGCUGGGCGGCCGGGGGGGCCUUUGCUACCAGAGUCCUGCCAGGUUCGCGGGUGGUCAGCACUUGGAGGUGGUGGCCACCGGGGGUCGGCCCCGGGUCCCACACGCCGGGACGGCAACUCCUGGUCACCCUUCCCCUCCUGAUGCUGAGACGGACGAGUCCUCCGGGUGGUUCCCAGCUCACGGCCGGAGCUCCGUGCAAAAAGCUCCUGUUUUCUCGCAGCUGAGUAAGACUAUCGCAGGCAGAGCUCGAAUCCUCUCCAGGUUUUAUUGGGUUUAAAAAUGACACCAUUUGCAAAAUGCUGGUCGUCUGUGUGAGCGACACACGCAUGCCGGGAUAUGGAGAUGACGGCUGGAGCGUCGCCUCGGGUGUCGCGGGUGAGAGAACACGGGUUGUGCGGAGGGAUUGGCCGUGACCCUGAGCGGGCGAGAGACCCCGCCACGACGGUCUGUAGACCGUGGUGCCCACACCAGCAACAGUAACGAGCUGCGGACGCAACCGGCCGCCUGCCUCCCUCCCUGGCUCCUGGCGGGAAGGGGUGGAUCUUCCCAGGGUCUCCCAGAGGCAGGCGCCGACGAUGCAGGUGUCCCGGCCGCUGGUCCCGCGUGGCCACUGCCAUGGCCCAGGCUCACAAGAGGCUUCGGAACCUUGCACGCCGCAGGGAGAGGUCGGAAGGGACACUGGGUCAUAGAGCCCAAGCUUGGGUCUUAGCAUCAGCCCCCCCGGACCUCGUCCCCCCGCCCUCCCCCACGCCCCUCGGAUCCGGUGCGCCGAGGUCACCGUGUUGCCGCCUACCCUGUGGUGACCGUGACAGGCGGGGACGGGCAGCGGACGCCUGGAGCCACGGGGUGAAAUGACAUCGAGAAACGGGGUCUUCCGCGCCAUUUCCAAGCAUCAUCCCACUGCUACUGUGUUGUCCUUCUGAUAAUGUGAAACGUGUAGAAGUUGUUUCUAUUUCGCGGUCAUGGUCACCGUGGGAACCGCCGUCCACGCACUGCGCCGGCCGCUGGUCCUCCAGCGGCUCUUCUCGGCGUCCAGGUGGCGCCCGACCUCACUCAGCCCGCACGACGAUGCCCGGCCACCGAGGCCGAUACGGGACAUCAAGAUACCUGGCGGCAGCCACACACGCACGUCCCACGUGGCACACCGUGGACUGUCGAGUGGCAGGGCUUGGUGGGUAACGUCCGGUGGGUCCUCUCCCCAGACAGAAUGUCCUGGAAGGCACUCGAGUCCGCUUGGGACGCCGUGGCAGAGCCCUCGGGCCGCGGCUUGGACCACAGACACUUUCCCACGUUGCGGAGGCCAGAGGCCCGCGAUCAGGGAGGCUGCGGGUCCGGUUCCUCCUGAGGCCUCCUCCCCGUGUGCCGUGUUCCCGUCCAUCCGUCCGUCUGUGUCCUCGUUCCCUCUCCCUGUGAGGACAUCAGCCACGGGCUAGGGCUCAUCCGUAUGACCUCUCUGAGCCCAUUAUGUAAGGAAAGGGCCUGUCUCCAAACACGGUCCUCCUCUGCUGGGACCAGCCCCUCCGGACUCCGGGGACGUGGACACUGCUUCUCCCACUGCCGCCCCCCUGAGCUGAAGGUUCCAUGUGCUCGAUGAUGCGUCCUUCUGUCUGUCCUCCUUCCUGCUUCCUGGGACCGAAGCCCCCCGUACAUCAUGUCCCAUAGGCCUGUGUUUCCUGUGCUUCCGGCAAAGACCACAUUUAUACCUAAAGUUGUCACCUGGGGGCACCUGGGGGUCUCCACCUGAGCAGUGACUGUGAGCUGCUCCUCCUCCCCUCCCCCACCUCGUCUCUCAGCCCUGUCCCCGUCCCACCACCGUAUGGCUGCUGACACUUGUAGCCACAGCGUGUGGCCUACCUUGGAGGUGAGGAGACCUGCUUGCUCCCCGUCCCCCGCUACGCUCCCUGCCCCGCGGAGAGGAUCCGACCUCGGGAUCAAUCCCGCGUGGCCGUCGCCUGUGACACCUGCUGUAUGCACGGCGGCCAUGGUUCUCCCAUGCUUCAGGCUCGGCCGCCGGAAGAAUAGAAACGUGGCUUCCCCGUCCACUUUGUCGUGGCCACUCUCACAAGCCAUGCCUCCAGCCGAACCCGUGGAACUCACACUCAAUCUCGGAGUUACCAUCAUGUAAACAGAGUCGUCUCCUGCCCGUGUCUGCGGUGACAGCUUAGCAGGGAAUAAAACCCUUCCCCGGCGAUGCUGGGGACGCGCGUGACAUCAGCAGACGUCCUGCGGUGGGACUGCCCCCACCCCCCACCGUGGACAGCAUGACCUCCCCUCCCCCGCUACUCACGGGCUCGCUCUGGGCCAUCGGGUAUGAGCAGGAGAGCUGCGAGCCGCUGCGUGUCCCCCGUUCUCUCGCUCCUGCAUCCCUCCCGCGGGAGGGGGACGGAGCCGUGGACGAGGCCCCCACAGGCCCAGAGCUGCACAGCCAAACAUCACCGUGGAAGCUCCAGAGGUCUGGUCAUCUCGGGAGGACAAAUGGCCUGGGCCCGUGGGGUUCUGUGAGCACGGAGCUGACUUUUCCUUUAGCGGAGAUUUGGCGCUUUUGGCCUGAAUUCCCUCCAGGUAACUUUUCUUUCAUCUGUAACGAGUGCGUUCCUCUAACGUGCCUUUCCAAGCCUUUGUUUUAGGCAAGUUUUCCUCUGUGGACGUGGACGGUAUUUUCAUUAUUAAACGUCCCUGAAGAAACAAAUAAAGAGCAAACAACAAGAAAAUCAGCUGUGUCAUAAUAAAAGGCAUAUCUCCUUGCGUCUUUUACCUACUA